AUCCGGAUGACGAGUCUCAAAUAGAACGAAUCGCUCGUCCUGGAU
Molecule: non-coding RNA, 45 nt
Organism: Schistosoma mansoni
Lineage: Eukaryota; Metazoa; Platyhelminthes; Trematoda; Strigeidida; Schistosomatidae
Source: Rfam